RNAcentral lists this ribosomal RNA (211 nucleotides) under uncultured bacterium. RNAcentral's name for it is "partial 16S ribosomal RNA". It matches the Rfam family "Bacterial small subunit ribosomal RNA", at positions 524 to 733 of the family's 1533-position model. The record is from RNAcentral.
UACGUAGGGUGCGAGCGUUUGUCCGGAAUUAUUGGGCGUAAAGGGCUCGUAGGCGGUUUGUCGCGUCGGGAGUGAAAUCCACUGGCUUAACUGGUGGCUUGCUUUCGAUACGGGCAGACUGGAGGUAUGCAGGGGAGAACGGAAUUCCUGGUGUAGCGGUGAAAUGCGCAGAUAUCAGGAGGAACACCGGUGGCGAAGGCGGUUCUCUGGG